RNAcentral lists this ribosomal RNA (407 nucleotides) under uncultured bacterium. RNAcentral's name for it is "partial 16S ribosomal RNA". It matches the Rfam family "Bacterial small subunit ribosomal RNA", at positions 30 to 526 of the family's 1533-position model. The record is from RNAcentral.
AUUGAACGCUGGCGGCAGGCCUAACACAUGCAAGUCGAGCGGCACGUCGGACGGGUGGGUAAUGCCUAGGAAUCUGCCUGGUAGUGGGCGAUCACGUCCGGCAACGGGCGCUAAUACCGCAUACUAUCAGAUGAGCCUAGGGCGGAUUAGCUAGUUGGUGGGGUAAAGGCCUACCAAGGCGACGAUCCGUACCUGGUCUGAGAGGAGGAUCAGUCACACUGGAACUGAGACACGGUCCAGACUCCUACGGGAGGCAGCAGUGGGGAAUAUUGGACAAUGGGCGAAAGCCUGAUCCAGCCAUGCCGCGUGUGUGAAGAAGGUCUUCGGAUUGUAAAGCACUUUAAGUUGGGAGGCGGUACCAAAAGAAUAAGCACCGGCUAACUUCGUGCCAGCAGCCGCGGUAAUUC